UUCGUAGGUGACCUGCGGAGGAUCAUUAUUGAAUACGAUUGGCACUGAUGCUGGCUCUUUACUGAGCAUGUGCUCGUGUCAUCUUAUUUAUUCUUCUCUUGUGCACAUUUUGUAGUCAACGAUUUGGAGCCUUACGUGCUUUCAUUAGCUGCGUGUCUUGGGACUGACUUUAUUGACUUUCCCUAUUCCACUGCGCACUCAUUGACUUGAGUUGCGGUCUGGGAGUUGUUAACCCUUCUCUCGCUUCGUUGACUAUGUUUUCAUAUACCCUUUAUAAAGUCAUAGAAUGUCUAUUUAACUUGACUUGUGCUCGCCACAGUCGUUAAAACCUAUACAACUUUCAGCAACGGAUCUCUUGGCUCUCCUAUCGAUGAAGAACGCAGCGAAAUGCGAUAAGUAAUGUGAAUUGCAGAAUUCAGUGAAUCAUCGAAUCUUUGAACGCACCUUGCGCCCUUUGGUAUUCCGAAGGGCAUGCCUGUUUGAGUGUCAUUAAAUUAUCAACCUUGAACUCGUUUGCUCGAGUUUCAAGGCUUGGAUGUGAGGGCUUGCUGGCUUCCUUUAGUGGAUGGUCUGCUCCCUUUAAAUACAUUAGUGGGAUCUCUUGUGGACCGUCACUUGGUGUGAUAAUUAUCUACGCCGUUUGACUUUGAAGCAAACUUAUGGGAACCUGCUUAUAACCGUCCAUUGACUUGGACAAUUUACUUUGACAAUUUGACCUCAAAUCAGGUAGGACUACCCGCUGAACUUAAGCAUAUCAAUAAGCGGAGGA
Molecule: ribosomal RNA, 769 nt
Filed under: uncultured Agaricales
Lineage: Eukaryota; Fungi; Basidiomycota; Agaricomycetes; Agaricales
Description: eukaryotic LSU rRNA
Rfam family: 5.8S ribosomal RNA (bases 336-489)
Source: RNAcentral